UGGGGGAUAUUGCACAAUGGGCGAAAGCCUGAUGCAGCGACGCCGCGUGGGGGAUGAAGGCCUUCGGGUUGUAAACUUCUUUUGCUCUGAACAAGGCAUGCCUUUGGGGUGUGUUGAGUGUAGGGGUUGAUUAGCGCCGGCUAACUACGUGCCAGCAGCCGCGGUAAUACGUAGUGCGCGAGCGUUGUCCGGAAUUAUUGGGCGUAAAGGGCUUGUAGGUGGCUGGUUGCGUCUGUCGUGAAAGCUCAUGGCUUAACUGUGGGUUUGCGGUGGGUACGGGCUGGCUUGAGUGCAGUAGGGGAGGCUGGAAUUCCUGGUGUAGCGGUGGAAUGCGCAGAUAUCAGGAGGAAUACCGGUGGCGAAGGCGGGUCUCUGGGCUGUUACUGACGCUGAGGAGCGAAAGCGUGGGGAGCGAACAGG
RNAcentral lists this ribosomal RNA (420 nucleotides) under Fusobacteriota bacterium. Its description in RNAcentral is "Fusobacteria bacterium partial 16S ribosomal RNA". It matches the Rfam family "Bacterial small subunit ribosomal RNA", at positions 355 to 776 of the family's 1533-position model. The record is from RNAcentral. Lineage: Bacteria; Fusobacteriati; Fusobacteriota.